Molecule: ribosomal RNA, 253 nt
Filed under: uncultured bacterium
Lineage: Bacteria
Description: partial 16S ribosomal RNA
Rfam family: Bacterial small subunit ribosomal RNA
Source: RNAcentral
UACGUAGGGGGCUAGCGUUGUCCGGAAUCAUUGGGCGUAAAGAGCGCGUAGGCGGCCAGAUAAGUCCGGUGUGAAAGUCACAGGCUCAACCUGUGAAUGCCGCUGGAAACUGUCUGGCUAGAGUCCGGAAGGGGCGAGUGGAAUUCCUGGUGUAGCGGUGAAAUGCGCAGAUAUCAGGAGGAACACCAAUGGCGAAGGCAGCUCGCUGGGACGGUACUGACGCUGAGGCGCGAAGGCGUGGGGAGCGAACAGG